GACGAACGCUGGCGGCGUGCUUAACACAUGCAAGUCGAACGGAAAGGCCCUGCUUUUGUGGGGUGCUCGAGUGGCGAACGGGUGAGUAACACGUGAGUAACCUGCCCUUGACUUUGGGAUAACUUCAGGAAACUGGGGCUAAUACCGGAUAGGAGCUCCUGCUGCAUGGGGGGGGUUGGAAAGUUUCGGCGGUUGGGGAUGGACUCGCGGCUUAUCAGCUUGUUGGUGGGGUAGUGGCUUACCAAGGCUUUGACGGGUAGCCGGCCUGCGAGGGUGACCGGCCACAUUGGGACUGAGAUACGGCCCAGACUCCUACGGGAGGCAGCAGUGGGGAAUAUUGCACAAUGGGCGGAAGCCUGAUGCAGCAACGCCGCGUGCGGGAUGACGGCCUUCGGGUUGUAAACCGCUUUCGCCUGUGACGAAGCGUGAGUGACGGUAAUGGGUAAAGAAGCACCGGCUAACUACGUG
RNAcentral lists this ribosomal RNA (468 nucleotides) under uncultured bacterium. Its description in RNAcentral is "partial 16S ribosomal RNA". It matches the Rfam family "Bacterial small subunit ribosomal RNA", at positions 28 to 507 of the family's 1533-position model. The record is from RNAcentral.